Molecule: RNA transcript, 3096 nt
Organism: Ictalurus punctatus (channel catfish)
Lineage: Eukaryota; Metazoa; Chordata; Actinopteri; Siluriformes; Ictaluridae
Gene name: NACHT, LRR and PYD domains-containing protein 8
Exons: 4
Source: RefSeq, a predicted model, not a curated record
GAGACAGAGAUAAAUCGGAGAGCACGACUAUAGCUUUUUUUGAUAGUAAAACACCGUAUACAACUGCCGCAAUAAAAUUAUAACAUUUAAACCAAAGAUCGGACUUAUAUAAACAUUUACUACAUUACCAACAUAGACGAAAAUCCAGUUCGCUUGCGGUUUUAUAAAUCAUGCACAUUUCCAUCAGUAUAAAGUCAAUCAGCUUUAUUAAAGAAAACAAAUACAAAGUUCCAUAUUUAGUCACAAAUGUCCUCUUCAAAAUGUUUUGGUAUCCCACCCCUCUGGAAAUUAGUAAUUAGCCAUAAACUGAACUGAGACACCAUCUAAAAAAAAACGCUACUCUGCUUUGGCUAUGCUGAACAUCCCGCCUCCUAAAUUUUAAUCGGGCAGUCUAACUUGAUUGACACCCACAUGGACCAAUUGUAGAUACUUCUAGCUUUCAAACAAGCCCAAACUCGACAUGAUUGACCACUCAGAGGCUGAGAAAAUCAAACGCGUAAUCAGCACAACCAAACGUUUUAGGCGUGCGUCUUGAGUUGUUUGUCAGUGGGUACAGGCCAAUCAGCACAGCGCUACAGGGCCAUGCAGAGAAACUUUCAGUAAAUGCCAGCUCCGCUCUAGCGGUCUUCCUGCAAAACUUUAUACAGCAGGUUUUUGCAUGUUUGGUAGUUUUUUCUGAUCGCUAGUUUUCUACUGGUUUUCGCUCAGCGUGCGAUUUAUCGGCGUCUUAUAGAGGCGGCGUGCUCCCGAAAAAGCCUGAAUGCGUCACAGCAGUUAUUUCCGAGUGGCUUUCUUUUUAUUUAUUUAUUUAUUCAUUUAUCUAUCUAUCUAUCUAUCUAUCUAUCUAUCUAUCUAUCUAUCUAUCUAUCUAUUUAUUUAUUUAGGAGGAAGACUAUGUGGAUUGAGUUGAGGGGCUCUAUCUACCCCCAAAAGAAGUCAGAGGAGAGGGGUCACUCGUGUGUCUAUCAUUUGAGGCAUUCGGAGAGCAAGUGCUCAUUCACCUGGGGCUCUGGCACUAUUUUUAAUAAACAUUAUAUUUUAUAAGUAUGUUUCAUAAGUAUGUUCAUGCUACUGCCAUUUGUUUUCAUUUUCUGCCAUUUGGAGGGGUUUGGUGUCUUUUUGAGACGUUUGGCGCCUUUUGGAGAGGUUAUUUUGUGCCUUUUUUAAAAAAAGUCUGCAAUUUUUAAAGGCUUUGUGCCAUUUUUAUAAGCUCUGUGCUAUUUAGAGAGGUUUUAUGUCAUUUGGAGACGUUUGGUGCCAUUUGGAGAGGUUUUGUGCCAUUUUGGAGAGGUUUUAACCUGUGUUUGGAUAACCUUACACACAAUUUUAGUGGUUAGAGAUAACUUCCUCGUAUUUUGGGUGUUCAUGGACAAGUACUUGGGGCAUCUUUGAGAUCAGGAAUGGGGUUGAUAUCAACAUUUGCUGUGAAGAUAUAACAUUUGUGGCAAACAGUAUGGAAGAGUGUAAGUGGGAAAUCCUGCACUGAUUUGGUUUCAGCUCUCUGUACAAAUCCAUCACACAUCAGAGACCUGGAUCUGAGUCGGUGUGAACUAGGAGACUCAGGAGUGGAGAAGCUCUGUGAUCUAAUGAAGAAACAAGAGUGUAAACUGGAGAAACUGGAGUUAUAUUACUGCAGAAUAACAGAUAGAUGCUGUGCUACUCUGACUGCAGCUCUGAAGUUAAACUCACAUCUCAAAUAUCUGGAUCUGAGAGGUAAUGAACUGGGAAAUUCAGUCACACAACUCGAGAAGUUACUGAAGUGUUCAGGAGGACAGAUACAAUAUGACCGUAGUACUAGACACAACAGAGAGGAAACCACGUGUACUGUAAUAUAGGAAACAGCAUGUACAGUAUUGUAGGAAGCAGUGUGUACAGUAACACUACCGUUUCUUCACUGGUGGUAAUUGACCUGAUAUAAAGCUAUCUUUGGAAGCUGAGUUCGCUAUACUGCAGAAAGAACAAAGAUACACACAAAAGACAGGAAGCAUUGUGGAUGAUGAUUACACUCAGCAGAAACAAGGCAGCAGUGGGAUAGUCACUGACUCCACAAGCCCAGGAAGUCAGCCUUCAGGCAGUUUAUAUAACAUCACAGAACAGAAUAGGAGGCAAGUCAAUAACACCUGGGGGUAUUCCAGAAAGCAGGUUAUGCGACUGGGUAAGCUUACUCAGAGUUAAUGGAGAACCUCAACUUUCGGUUCUAAAAACAGAGGAAACUUUCAGGGUAUGUACUGUAGCCAUAUCUACUUAUUCUCUGAACAUCACCUGGUCUGAAGAAGGUUAUAUUCCAGGAUGAGUUUGUUUAGAGAGCUGACGGAGCAUAGCGUGCCCCUUUGAAGAAUGUCCUGUGGACGAGGAAGCACGGAUUAUAUGAAAUCUUUGUCACUGUGAGAGGAAAAUAAGACCACGUAUAGAUGUGUUUUCAUAUCUGGAUGAAUAUUUCAGGAGCGUUACCAUCAUUCACAUGAAUCAUUAAUUUAUUUAACAAAUAAACAGGAAAGAGUGGGCAAGUCAAUAACACCAGUAAUACACAGAGGCAACAAAACAGGGGCUACACAAGCACUCCCACCUCCAAAAACAAAUAGUACUAGAUCACACUUUCUAUACAGUACACAACAUACAAAAAGGAGAGAGGAGUGUACAUUGAGAUGUUUAUUUUCCUCCUCACAACAGUAAAAUAUACAGUUAUUGUUAGAGAUUUAACACAUGAAUAUAUCUGCAUGUUAAUGAUUUGUGUAUAUAGUGUAACGCAUUUAAAAGUAAGAAGUGCUGCUUUGUUUACUUCUGCCCUUACAGAAAAAUCACAUGAACUUCAGAUGUGCAAAAACACGUGGUCACAUGUUCAUAAUCACAUUUACUGUGUGUAAACUUGUAAAAAUGACACGUGCAGUAUGUGGAACGUGUGAAACAUGCCCUUUGAACAUGGGAAACGUGUCUUUUUUUGUACAAUACAAAAUAGUCUUUGUACUUACAUUUUUUAUAAAACAUUUUAAAUAACAGCUACACAUUGAGUAAGCAGUAAUUUACCAUGCCAAACAGCACCAUGUUCUUCUGUAAGGUCUAUGCUCAUAUUUCCUGCAAUAAAGACACUAAAACAAA